CCGGCGAACGGGUGCGUAACACGUGAACAACCUGCCCUCGUGUGGGGGAUAGCCAUGCUAACGCGUGGGUAAUACCGCAUACGUUCUCUUUGGGGAGUCCCGAGGAGAGGAAAGCUCCGGCGCACGGGAGGGGUUCGCGGCCUAUCAGCUAGUUGGCGGGGUAAUGGCCCACCAAGGCGACGACGGGUAGCUGGUCUGAGAGGAUGGCCAGCCACAUUGGGACUGAGAGACGGCCCAG
Molecule: ribosomal RNA, 238 nt
Filed under: uncultured bacterium
Lineage: Bacteria
Description: partial 16S ribosomal RNA
Rfam family: Bacterial small subunit ribosomal RNA
Source: RNAcentral